UACGGAAGGCAGCAGUGGGGAAUAUUGCACAAUGGGCGCAAGCCUGAUGCAGCCAUGCCGCGUGUAUGAAAAAGGCCUUCGGGUUGUAAAGUACUUUCAGUCGUGAGGAAGGUGUUAAGGUUAAUAACCUUAGCAAUUGACGUUAGCGACAGAAGAAGCACCGGCUAACUCCGUGCCAGCAGCCGCGGUAAUACGGAGGGUGCGAGCGUUAAUCGGAAUUACUGGGCGUAAAGGGCACGCAGGCGGUUAAUUAAGUUGGAUGUGAAAUCCCCGGGCUUAACCUGGGAAUGGCAUUCAAGACUGGUUAGCUAGAGUCUUGUAGAGGGGGUAGAAUUCCAUGUGUAGCGGUGAAAUGCGUAGAGAUGUGGAGGAAUACUGGUGGCGAAGGCGGCCCCUGGACAAAGGCUGACGCUCAUGUGCGAAAGCGUGGGGAGCAAAC
Molecule: ribosomal RNA, 439 nt
Filed under: uncultured bacterium
Lineage: Bacteria
Description: bacterial SSU rRNA
Rfam family: Bacterial small subunit ribosomal RNA
Source: RNAcentral